CCUACGGGGUGCUGCAGUGGGGAAUAUUGCGCAAUGGGCGAAAGCCUGACGCAGCGACGCCGCGUGGGUGAUGAAGGCCUUCGGGUUGUAAAGCCCUGUCGGGUGGAACGAACGAUCUGGCGGCGAAUAACCGCCGGGUGUGACGGUACCACCGAAGGAAGCCCCGGCUAACUACGUGCCAGCAGCCGCGGUAAGACGUAGGGGGCGACUGUUGGUCGGAUUUACGUGGGGUAAAGGGCAAGUAGGCUGUGAAAUCCCUCGGCUUAACCGAGGUCCAGCAUCCGAUACUGUCUGGCUCGAGUCUAGGAGAGGAAAGCGGAAUUCCCAGUGUAGCGGUGAAAUGCGUAGAUAUUGGGAGGAACACCGGUGGCGAAGGCGGCUUUCCGGACUAGUACUGACGCUGAGGCGCGAAAGCUAGGGGAGCGAACGGGAUUAGAUACCCCUGUAGUC
This 450-nucleotide ribosomal RNA is filed under the name uncultured bacterium. Its description in RNAcentral is "partial 16S ribosomal RNA". It matches the Rfam family "Bacterial small subunit ribosomal RNA", at positions 338 to 795 of the family's 1533-position model. The record is from RNAcentral.